RNAcentral lists this ribosomal RNA (374 nucleotides) under uncultured organism. RNAcentral's name for it is "partial 16S ribosomal RNA". It matches the Rfam family "Bacterial small subunit ribosomal RNA", at positions 527 to 896 of the family's 1533-position model. The record is from RNAcentral.
GUAGGUGGCAAGCGUUGUCCGGAAUUAUUGGGCGUAAAGCGCGCGCAGGCGGUUCUUUAAGUCUGAUGUGAAAGCCCACGGCUCAACCGUGGAGGGUCAUUGGAAACUGGGAGAACUUGAGUACAGAAGAGGAAAGCGGAAUUCCACGUGUAGCGGUGAAAUGCGUAGAGAUGUGGAGGAACACCAGUGGCGAAGGCGGCUUUUCUGGUCUGUAACUGACGCUGAGGCGCGAAAGCGUGGGGAGCAAACAGGGAUUAGAUACCCUGGUAGUCCACGCCGUAAACGAUGAGUGCUAAGUGUUAGGGGGUUUCGCCCCCUUAGUGCUGCAGCUAACGCAUUAAGCACUCCGCCUGGGGAGUACGGCCGCAAGGCUG